RNAcentral lists this long non-coding RNA (1864 nucleotides) under Actinidia chinensis (golden kiwifruit). Its description in RNAcentral is "long non-coding RNA (ACHI_LNC002181)". The record is from RNAcentral. Lineage: Eukaryota; Viridiplantae; Streptophyta; Magnoliopsida; Ericales; Actinidiaceae.
UUCAACUUUGCAAUUUUAUAUUACAAAAGAAAAAUAAAAGGAAUGAAACAAUAUACUUAGUAACACUUGUGAUGAAAAUUACAAGACUUGACCCUGGCGUUUUAGCACCCCGGCAACAGAGCCAAAAAUACUUGUCAGUAUUUAAUGCUAUAUCUCUUUUGCAAUUCCCAAGCGUAGGAAUCUAUCAGUAAAACACGAUAUUCAGAAGUCCCCAUGUCAUUUCCACAAGGAACUCAAAUUGCAAGGUCAAGUGUGGUGCAAGUAGAAAAAGUGUAAAAUUGUUUACUUGAUGGAGUUGAAGGAUCGAUUUGUAUCACUGAGUUUGGGAUUUAACUUCUGUUGCACUCCUCAAUUGGUUGAGGAUUUGCUUCAAUUGGUUGAACUUUGGAAGCUCAAUUUUUCUGAUUUCCUUUAACCGGUUGAACAUUUAGGGCUGGACCGGUUGAACUCUCUCUCUGAUCUUUCUGCUGGUCUUCGAUCGGUUGAACUUUUUGCUUCAAUUGGUUGGGGGCUGCUUCUUCAUGCCUUUGGAUUUGUUCAACCGGUUGAACACUUUUGUUCAACCGGUUAAGGUAAAAAGGGUGUUGCCUUUGUUUCAGUUGCACCGAUUGAACAUUGGUAGUUCAAUCGGUUGAGCCAAGGCAGUGCUCCGUGCUCUUUCGAUCUCUUUAACGCUCCAAUUGACCUACAAAACCUAUUUACAAUACUUGCACCAAAUAAUGGUUAACUCGAACAUAUAAUAAGUGCAAUAAUGCUAAAUUGCAGGGGAAUUGACUGAUAACUUAGCAUUUUAUUGUGUGAAUCACUAUCCAAGUCCAAAACAAAAACAUAAAACCCAUCUCCCCUAAAUCCAAACUCACAAGCCCAAGCCCAAGCCCAUAUGAACAUUCCAUUUAAUCAAGCCAUGUCGGCCCAACCCAACCUGGAUUUACCCAACAUUACCCAAUCCACCCAACAGAUUUCUAGCUCAAAAUGAUGCCAUGAAAGCCCAACUAGAUAAGAUUGACCGCAUUGAGAAUGUUUAGAGAAAGACCAAGGGAAUUGAAGUCCUCGAUGCUCAAUGUCUAUGUUUAUCAAGAUGCCCGAUUUAGACAAUUUGAUGGUAACGGAGAUCCUAAGGUGCAUUUGAGGAUGUAUGUGGGAGUAUUCAGACACAUGGGGAUCCAAGAGGAGUUAUUGGGCUAACUUUUUCAAAAACUUUAACCGGAGCUACCUUGCUUUGGCUUUUAAAUCUUGAACCAUCCAAGGUUAGAACAUGGGAGAACAUAACCAACAUCUCUGUGACACAAUAUGCAUACAACACCCAACUCGAUGUGAUCACUAGAGACUUGGAGACCACUCGUCAAAAUGAAAAGGAAAACUUCUUCAAGUUUUUGGGAAGAUGGAGACCCAAAUCUGCCAUGAUGACUAUAAGACCUCAAAAAAAUAUCAAGUCCGAAUGGUGAUCAAGAAUUUGCAACCUCAACUCAUGAAACACCUCAUUAUUCAACCUUUAAGUACUUUUGAACAAUUGUUUAAUGCUGGAGUCGAAAUAGAGGAUGUCAUAGGAACCGGAAUUUUAGAGAGAAGUGAAAGUGGAUGAACAAAACCGAAGAGAUUUGGGGGAAACAGUCAGUAAAGUAGCAUAUGAGUCAACCAAAAUGAAUGCUAUUGUCAUGCGAGUUUUGCAAGAUUGGGCAAAAUCGAAGAGAAAAUUCACCUUGGGAGGAAUGUCAUUGUCCGAAGCACUCGAGAAGCUCAAGGGAGCUGGCCAUUUGAAACCACUUGCCCCCAUGCCACCACCAAACCCUCUUCCACCCAGCCAUAACCCCAAUCACUAUCGUGCCUUUCACCAAGCCCAAGGUGAUGCCGCACAAGAAUCAAC